This is a long non-coding RNA of Acyrthosiphon pisum (pea aphid), 607 nucleotides long. RefSeq lists it as uncharacterized. The record is from RefSeq and is a predicted model, not a curated record. The transcript has 2 exons. NCBI's taxonomy places the organism in Eukaryota, Metazoa, Arthropoda, Insecta, Hemiptera, Aphididae.
CACUAAAUCACCUCCGACUACCUAAGGCACUAUCAUUACUGUGUCUCAAAAAUCGGUACCCUCUCUCAGCGAGUCCAACGGGCGUUCGAGUUACACUUGACCACUACGAAGGCGCCGGAGGCGGCUUCCACAACGCCCGUAAUCGAGGCACACUGGCAGCUAGUCUGUUAUAAAGUUAAAAUUAUUUACUAAUGCAUUGAUAACACGGUGAUCUUUUGACACAUGUUUGUUAUCAGUUAUAAUACGUGAUAAUACAAAUAUUUUUUUCUGUAUGAUAAAAUCGAUUGAUUAUUAUUUUUUUUUUUUUUAAAUGUCCGUUGACUUCUAUAAUUUAAUAAUUCAAACAACGUAAAAAUGCCACGAAUUUAUAAACCAGAUCCUCGAAGCAAAAAGUAUAUGAAACCAAAUCAAAAUGAUCUCAAAAAUGCUAUUAUGGCAAUUAAAAGUAAACAGGUAACAUACCGGGAAGCUCAGGAAAUAUAUGGCAUACAUUAUUCUGUACUCUAUAUUGUAACCUAUAGUAUUUACCUACAGUAAAGAAACUGAGAUAACUACCAAACUAAUUAAUUAAGUGUUGAAUAUUUAAUAAAUAUUUUUAAAAAUUUAA